CCUACGGGAGGCAGCAGUGAGGAAUAUUGGUCAAUGGGCGUAAGCCUGAACCAGCCAAGCCGCGUGAGGGAUGAAGGUUCUAUGGAUCGUAAACUUCUUUUAUAAGGGAGUAAAGUGUGGGACGUGUCUUGUUUUGCAUGUACCUUAUGAAUAAGGAUCGGCUAACUCCGUGCCAGCAGCCGCGGUAAUACGGAGGAUCCGAGCGUUAUCCGGAUUUAUUGGGUUUAAAGGGUGCGUAGGCGGCCUUUUAAGUCAGCGGUGAAAGGCAGGGGCUUAACCAAAGAAUUGCCUUGGAAACUGGGAGGCUUGAGUGUAGAUGAGGCCGGCGGAAUGCGUGGUGUAGCGGUGAAAUGCUUAGAUAUCACGCAGAACACCGAUUGCGAAGGCAGCCGUCCAAUCCAUGACUGACGCUGAUGCACGAAAGCGUGGGGAGCAAACAGGAUUAGAUACCCGAGUAGUC
Molecule: ribosomal RNA, 460 nt
Filed under: uncultured bacterium
Lineage: Bacteria
Description: partial 16S ribosomal RNA
Rfam family: Bacterial small subunit ribosomal RNA
Source: RNAcentral